Molecule: ribosomal RNA, 115 nt
Filed under: Klebsiella oxytoca MGH 42
Lineage: Bacteria; Pseudomonadati; Pseudomonadota; Gammaproteobacteria; Enterobacterales; Enterobacteriaceae
Source: RNAcentral
UGGCGGCGAUAGCGCGGUGGUCCCACCUGACCCCAUGCCGAACUCAGAAGUGAAACGCCGUAGCGCCGAUGGUAGUGUGGGGUCUCCCCAUGUGAGAGUAGGGCAUUGCCAGGCA